UACGAAGGGUGCAAACGUUGCUCGGAAUCAUUGGGCGUAAAGCGCACGUAGGCGGCAUUCUAAGUCGGAUGUGAAAUCCCUCGGCUCAACCGAGGACGUGCAUCCGAAACUGGAACGCUCGAGUAUGGAAGAGGGUCGCGGAAUUCUCGGUGUAGAGGUGAAAUUCGUAGAUAUUCGCAAGAACACCAGUGGCGAAGGCGGCUCACUGGCCCGGUACUGACGCUGAGGUGCGAAAGCGUGGGGAGCAAACAGG
Molecule: ribosomal RNA, 253 nt
Filed under: uncultured bacterium
Lineage: Bacteria
Description: partial 16S ribosomal RNA
Rfam family: Bacterial small subunit ribosomal RNA
Source: RNAcentral